CCUGAGCUCCCGGUGUGUGGGCUGCCCUGCCUGGAGCCACGGGCUGGGCAAGCCCCCCAGGUCCCUUCCAGCCUGACCUGGUUUAUGAUUCAGUGCCCCAGAGUGGUGACAGUGCUGAAUCUCAGUGUUCAAAUGUGCUAAUUAGAUUCAGAAAAUGUACGUGUUGUUUCAGGUUGUCACAGUGAUGAUAUCUGAGAAAUAAGAGUGGCUCCCAGCGAGCCUGAUGCAUGCGGGUGUACACCCUCAGGGAGAAAAUGGGUUAUUUUGUUAGCAAUGCAGCAGAACAUUUUCCUGUCUAAAUAAUACGAUAUUGAGAUUUUGCUAUAUAUAAAUGUCUUUUUGGGUAUGCUUUGGGUAUGUUUUUGGGAGGGGCAAUGUGUUCCUGCUGAUUUUUUUUUCUACUGUUUUUUACACAUCACACAUAAGAAUUCCUGCUUCAGGUGAUGUGCACUGAGUUUGAAAUGCCUCGACAACAGAUAAUGGGAAAUUCAGGAAAUAAUUGCUUUCUUUUGAUACCUCUUCUUCAUUUCCCCACCUCCCCCCAAAAAAACGGGAAAGACUUGGUGAGAAUAAUGCAGACUGUGCCCAUGGAGCCUGCAGGAGCAGCAGAGAACGCAGAGAAGAGACUUCUGAGUGCUUUUGCUGUUUUCCGCAGGGAUGCCCUCAGAAAUGGCCUUUAUUUUCUCUAAAUGACGGGAUGAUUUUCCUGUCUGUGAAGAUUGAGGACCAGAAGUGCUGUGUACUGAAGUCCCGUACUUAUCCGCGGGCCAGACAUCAUAGCAGUCUGUCGUAUCGCUCUGCUGAGCCUGGACUUGGAGCUAAAGGGAACAAACUGAACAGCCCGUGGUGGAUUGACUUCUAUUAGAUUCUUCAGGCAUCACCAUCAGUGUGAACUCCAUUUAAGUAACACCGUCAGAGACUUAAUUUAUUAUAUAAUUGAUAAGAAAUAUCACCUAGGAAGCCUAGACAAUGAAAGUGACUUGCACAGGAAAUAUUUCGCUAAGAGACAGCGACAUGGGAACGCACUGGAGGCAGAAAAUUGAGUUAUGGAAUAAAUAGGUAAAAAAUAAUUCUUUGCGUAUAACAAACUUCUAUUUAUUUAUUGUUGUAUGGAAUUUGGGAGGGCCUGGCAUUACUUAUUUGUAGACGACAAUAAAAUAGGAGAAGGGGAGUUAAGCAGAAGGGGCUGGAGAUGGAGAUUAAAAAGGGAGGUGGAAGCCAAAGGGGGGGGAGAGAAUUGCCAGGAGGAGCAGGAGAAAUCAAGAGAUGAAGAAACAGCUGGGAAGGCAGCGUCUGGGAAAAAGGGGGAAGAGUGAGCAGGAGGCAAGGGCAAUACUGAGCUCUGGGGGUAUCCUGCUGUAGGAGAAGCUGGAAAAUACCUCCUGCUGGGCUCUUAGAGAUGAAUUGCCUGCCUGGGAGCAGACCAAGUGCUGUCAGGGAUGCCUUUGUGCCACCACAAACUGUUUCUGUUGCAGUGGAGGGUCGUUUGCAUUUCUCUCCUAUGCAUAUUUUAAAGAGUUUGUGAUCAUCUAAUAAAUACUGCUGUCUGCAGCAUUUCUGCUGAGUGCACGAUGGUUCCUCGCUUCUGUACAUGCUUCGUAAAUGGAACCAACCUGUUGCUAGAUGAAUUUCUGUCUCGUGGAUGCUGUGACCAGGGAGAGGGGUUUGGCUUACCAGCUGCCCCUUUGGAAUUUGUCCUUUGCCAUAAUGCCUCAGUAUCAACACUUGGAUAACAGAAAUUAAGGCAAAACCCUAAAAUGGGGAAAAGAAAGGGGAAAAAAAUCAUCAAACCCUUGACAAGUUGCCAGGGCAAGAUCAGGAAGAUGAUCAUCUAAGCUAGGAAAGAGCCAGCACCUAUGGGGAAGGACACUGAAGGGUGAGAAGUGGGUAGGAGUGGGGUGCUGAAACAGCAUAAGGUCCAACAUCUCAUGAUUAACUCAUUAACUAUAAACGAAAUAACAUUUCAAGUUUCCUCCACG
Long non-coding RNA from Cygnus olor (mute swan), 1979 nucleotides. RefSeq lists it as uncharacterized. Lineage: Eukaryota; Metazoa; Chordata; Aves; Anseriformes; Anatidae. The transcript has 3 exons. The record is from RefSeq and is a predicted model, not a curated record.